CUUUGUUUCUCAGGCUGAUCUCAAACUCCUGGCCUCAAGCGAUCCUCCUGCCUCUGUCUCCCAAAGUGGCGGUGUUAUAUGAGAUAGAAAGAGAUUAUUUAGGUAGACAGUUAGGGUAAAGUGAGUCCCAGCAGAAAACUUUCCUUCUAACAAAAAGCAGCUCAGAAAUAGCUCUCUUGCUAACCUCAUGCAGUUCAAAGAAAUCACUUCUCUUCUAACAAAGAACAGCUUGAAAGAUCAGGCUGUAUAAACACAGAUAAACAACUCAGGCACAGAAGGAGGUGGGGAGUCUCCUAGGUAAUCACCAAACUUCACACUUAUAAAAUGGACCCCAGUAAAAACAGUAGGCCUUAAUAAGCACAUUCCUUUCCUUUUAGGCACACUAAGAUAGGGAAGCUAAAAGUGGACUUGGGGGAGAUGCCUGCAGCUGCAGGAAGAUGUCUGGGAACAGACACAGAAACUCUCCCUCCCAGAUAAGCCAAACAAAGCAGCACAAAGCAGCACAGACUAAGAGUCUGCCUACAUGAUCGAGGAGUGAGGUGAGAGCUGAUAGAAAACUCUGCUCUGUGCACAUAGCACACCUGGUCCCAACCAAAUCUUUGGGCCUCAGUAAGAUAAGACACCCCCUCCUCACUAGCCCAAUUAUAAAAACCCUGACAUUUUUACUGCAACUUGGCAACCCGCUCAGGAUUCCUCUCUGUGAAAGAGCUGUUCUUUCCUUUUGCCUAUUAAACUCCUGCUCCAAUCCCACUCUGUGUGUGUGUGUCCGCGACUUCAAUUUCCUUGGCCAUGAGACCAAGAACCUUGGUAUUUACCCCAGACAAUCAGGCUGCUUCAUUUUGGGGGCCCGUCCAGGAUUUGAAGGUGAAUUCAUUGGAACGGUGAGUAAAGGAGUGGACUCUCUACUUUCAUUUCCAAGGCUUCUCAUCCCCAGUUGUUAUUCUCUCAAAGAACUAUUAAAAAAAUCAGGCAUCUGUUGGCUAAUUAAUGAGUCACAAGGGCUAGCUGCCAGUGUUAAAGACUCAGAUGUGAAGCUUGCUGGGGAGGACUUAGUCAAUCCCCCAGUGCCCUCAGGGUGCUGGGAAUGUUGGCUCUGUCCAAACCAGUUUCCUUUCAUGGAGAAUUUUGCCAUCACACGGGGCUGGAAUAGGUCCCGGGGCAACUGAGGAUUUCUGGCCAGGGCUACACCCUGGUGUUGCCCAAAGGCUCCUGGACUGACACCAGCCUCCGACUGCCCGACUGAUUGUCGGCCACAAGAUUGCCAAGCUUUCCUAUUGCAAAUCUCAUUUUCCUCCUUUCCUUUCGAGGUCACCAUGUCUCCCAUCCCCUCUCUGUAUGCAAUGCUGAGGGAAUUUUACAGCCCAGAGAAAUAAUUCAGUUAGGCAGGCUUAGCAACCACCUUAGCAACCAGAAAUGCAGGUCAAGGGAUUGCUGUUUUUGUGACUUUCUACUGACAGGGGGAUUUCAUGAUCCAGAUCUGAAAGGCUAACUCCUAAUGAUAGCACUUCCUGGGGUUGGGUAGAAGGUUAUCUCUCCACCAGUGAACAUCCCUCUCUCCACCUAGGCUGUUUCUUCUCCCAUGUGAGGAGCCAGCACUACCCAGCCGGACUGGAUAGUCCGUCUAUGAGGCGAAUUAACUUUCUCCUGCUAGGAGGCAUGCCAUAGGGAUAACCUGCCACAUGUCAGACUUUCCCUCUCCGUCCGUAUGGAGGCCAAGUUACUGCCGGGUAUGUCAAAGCUUGCAGCGCCACCUAGUGGAACAGGAAUCCUCUCCAUUGGCAACCUAGUCUGCCCUUUGCCAAAAGCCUCUAGCUUUCCACUUUUUCUCCCUUUUACAUCCUUCUAAUAGACAUCAAACCUUAUGUCCCUCUGAGAGCGGGAGAACUCUGCUUUCAGCAGUGAGGAAGAAAAUGUCCUCCAAAACCAAAUUUUAGUCUCAAUACUCUCUCCAUUAGCAGGAUGGCUGCCAUUUGACCCUUAUAUUCUCUUGAGACACCUAUUCUGCUUGCAACUAGUAUUUCAUCUAAAUAGAAAGGGGAUUUUCUGUUUGGAACCUAACUGGAACCACCAUCUAAAAAUAAAUUCUCUAGUCCAUUCCAUAACAGCAGAGUAUAAAGCUCAGUACAGUACCCUUCCAUUAAGGGGCCUUGCUUAAAUGCAACUAUUACAUAAUCUCUCCCGAUACCCAUCCAUCAAGGAGCCACACAGAUCACACAAGUCUGAGAGGUCAAAGGGCAAUUAUCAGGCAGAGGACUAAGGUCACAUGGGUAAGUGUGACUAUCCCCAUUACUUAGCUACUCUGGGACCAUGGUUUGAGGGUCACGCCAGCAACCAUGAGGAGGCACACACUGUGCUGGGACCCAGGGACCAAAGAGAGAGAACCGUCAGGGAGACACUUCCACUGUCGUCCCCUCCACCCUGGGUCACACCAAAAAGAACAAGGAGACUGAGGGAUGCCUCUCCUCUUGUCUCUUUUCUAGGAUGGGUAGCAAGCCAUUUUGACUUGCACUCUGCUGGAGUACAUUUUGAACUCCUUUGACACCCAAACUCUGAAGAAAAAGCAACUCAUUUUCUUUUGCACAAGGGUGUGGCCUUUUUACCCUCUCAGGAAUGAACACACCUGGUCAGCUGAAGGGAACCUUCACUUUAAUUUUAUCCAGCAAUUAGAUCUCUUCUGUAGACAGAAGGCCAAAUGGUCCAAGGUUCUCUAUGUGCAGGCUUCCUUCGCCUUGCAAGACAACCCAGACCUUUGCAAGCAUUGCACAACCGAGUCAGCCCUCUUAGCAAUCAUAUCAGACAGGUCUGUGAAGAGUAGUUCCCCUAAGUCAGAAGAGCAAGUUUUGGAGGAGCUAUUGGAGGCAGCUUAUAAGUGCCCCAGUCCUUCCAGUUCCCUUUAUCCAGGGCCCCUUCCAAGUGCACCAUCAGCUCCUCCAGCUCCACCAUCUCCAAAGCUCCCCACUGCCCCAGCUUCACUCCUACCCCUGCAAGAAAUGCCAGAUGGAAGGGGCACCAUUAAGGUACUUGUUCCCUUCUUGUUGCAGGACCUUGGGCAAAUAAAUGGGCUGAUUUCUUGACAACCCUAAUAGAUAUAUAGAAGUCUUCCAAAAUUUAACUCAAGUGUUUGACCUCACAUGGAGGGAUGUUAUGCUGUUUCUCAGCCAAACCCUCACUGCAGCUGAAAAGCAGACAGCUCUGCAAGCAGGAAAAAGGUCUGGAGAUGAACAACAUGUUCCCUAUAGUAGACCAAAAAGGAAAAGGGGAGAUAAGGAAGGUAAGGAAAUAACAGAAAAACCAUUCUUAAUAGGGAGAGAGACUACACCUCUUGACAAUCCUGACUGGAAUCCCUGUGACCCCACAGAUGAAUGGAAAGGGAAACACUUUUAAUGUGCAUAUCAGAGGGCCUAAGAAGGACUAGGACCAAACCUCUUAAUUACUCUAAACUGUCCUUGUUGAAUCAGAAACCAGAUAAAAAUCUCCCUACCUUUUUGGAAAGGCUGACAGAAGCUAUAAUAAAACACACCUCCCUGUCUUCCAAUUCAAUAAAAAACAGGUUCAUUACUCAGGCAGCCUUGAUAUCAAAAGGAAGUUGCUGAAACAGGCCAUGUCUAAAAAUCUUUCUAGUUUUUCUCACUCUCAAGUUGAAACUUUGCAGUAUGUAAAUGACACUCUCCUCUGUGCCCCAAUCAAGGAAGUCUCAGGAAGGCACUAAGACUCUCCUCAAUUUCUUAGCUAAAAGGGAAUAUAGAAUCUAAAAAUCUAAAGCUCAGCUCUGUCAAACUUCAGUAAAGUACCUAGGCCUAAUCUUAUCAGAAGUGUGGGGGAUCAGCCAGAGUGGUGACAAAAACUAUAGGGAAAGGACACAAACCUUCUGAAAGGUCAGAAGUUUCUGCAGAGAACCAGAGGAGAAUGGCUAAAGCCAGCUGUUCUAUAACCCAGAGGCAGAGGGCAAGGAGUAGGUACAAGGGAGUGUGGGGGAAUUUAUCUUAAACAGGUUUGUUUACUUAGGUUGACCAGGAACUGACCUUGGAUCAUCCCCGCAUGUGACAUUCUCUGGAAGGGGAACAAUAAAUGUUAAUUACCUGCAGGUUGUGUUGGCUCCAGGUUUUCAGCAUUGUGCUUGCACUGAAUAAAAGCAAGCAGCUUCAGCUUCUCAGGCCUGCUGUCUGGCCACUACAGCCAGGCAGUCACCUAGCUGCUCUUAAAUUGCAUACCUGUGUCUGAGUACUCAUUUCAUCCAUUGGCCAGGGUCUGUGGGACAGACACGGCACUGAAGGAACCAGAGUACCAGGUGAGGAAAGGAUUAACCCCGUUUCCUUUAACAGUUAAGAAAAUUCUUGGGCAUUACUGAAUUUUGCAAAAUGUGGGCACCUGGGUAUGGUGAACUAGCUCAUCCUUUAUACCAACUCAUAAAAGAAACUCAAGCAGCUCCCUAACUUGGGAUCCUAAAACACAAACACCUUAAACCAGCUAAAUCAAGCUUGCUUAAAGCACCAGUUCUCAGUCUUCCUGUAGGGAAAGUAUUUAGUCUUUACAUAUAUCAGAAAGGAAGAAAAUAGCCCUGGGAGUUUUGACUAAGACUGGAGGUCCAGCUCUACAGCCAAUGGGUUAACAAUGGGGAAUAACUAAACUGUUUAACUCCACACAAUAUAACAGGACUACUGUACUCUAAGGAAAGUCUCUGGCUAACAGACAAUUGCCUCCUCAAAUAUCAAGCUUUGCUGCUAAAGGGAUCCUGCAGUCCAGUUGAAAACCUGCCCCUGCCUGAGCCCAGCCACUUUCUCCCAGAGAAAACUGGAGAACCUAAACAUGAUUGUGAAAAAGUAGUGGUGCAAACUGGGGGAAAAAUGAUCUUGUUUUCCUGGAAAAGGGAAUUUUUUCUCAGUCAACUGAAUUCUUUUUUUCACUGUGUCUUACCACUCUUGGUGCAUGCAUGAAAGACCCUGGAAUGACUUCUGGUGGCCUGGUACUCCUUGGGAAAACAGAAAAGGUGCCACAAAUCCCAUUUUGGGAAAAAUCUGUUUUCCUCAUGGAACCCCUGGAAUUCAAGAUUCAAAGAAACUUUCUUAAAAGCCUUUAAGAACUAAGUAAACUAUACUCCUGUAAACAAGGUUUGGAGCAUGUUUGUUUCUCUCUGCCUAGUUCCUCUAGAAUUUGGAAACUAGUUAUAAGUAUUCUUGAAUUACAACAAUACAGUUAUUUGCAUCAGUGCCACAAGAAUCCAUUUUCUUUUGCAACAAAACACAAUUGGAAAAACCGGUUGUUUUACCAAGGCUUUCACUGCAUAGCUUUGACUUGCAGAGCCAAUGAAAGCCUCUUGGGAAAACUGGCUUCAUACCUUGUCUACACAGUCUCUGUACAGGAUUCCUGUAGUGAGUGAGUAAAGAAUGUCACUUUCUAACAGGCCUGGAAACCCCACGCUCCUGGAACCUCAAGAAGAAAGAAGUUUAUCCAAUUCACGGGUAUUUGAGUGUACAAACCCAUGGCUGGGCUUGGCUUCAAAAGGUCCUAUCCAGGAUUCCUUGUGAAACAGAGUUCUAUCAAAGCCAAUCAAAAAGGCCUACACAGAGGUAAUUAUUCUCGCUGCACUUUUUGCAAAUAAUCAGGCCAAGUAUAAAACUAAAGUUUAUUUUGCAACCAUCUCAGUCCUAUCAUAAGUUGUUUUUAAUAAAAAUGAGAACUGGAGAGAGAGAAAUUAUGUUCCAAACUUAUUGUACAUC
Molecule: long non-coding RNA, 5717 nt
Organism: Cercocebus atys (sooty mangabey)
Lineage: Eukaryota; Metazoa; Chordata; Mammalia; Primates; Cercopithecidae
Exons: 3
Source: RefSeq, a predicted model, not a curated record